UAAAUUAAUUAAAGAUAUUUUAAAACAGUCUUAGCAGCUCGGGAGGCUGAGGCAGGAGGAUAGAGAGUUCAAAGCCAGCCUCAGCAAAAGUGAGGUGCUAAGCAACUCAGUAAGACCCCCUGUCUCUAAAUAUAAUACAAAAUAGGGACUGGGGAUAUGGCUUAAUGAUUGAGUGCCCUGAGUUCAAUCCUUGGUACCCGCCCCCCCCCCAAAAAAAAAGCAUGGGGCUCUGUGAAGUGAAGGAAUUAAUUUACAUCAAAUUCAUAGUGGGUCUCCUCAACCAACUGUAAUAGCCAUGACAGUAACAAUAACAAAAUGCGAAUGAGGGCUGGGGCUGGGGCUCCAGCGGUAGAGUGCUCACCUAGCAUGUGUGAGGCCCUGGGUUCAAUCCUCAGCACCACAUGAAAAUAAAUAAAUAAAAUAAAGGUAUAAAAAAAGAAAAGAAAAUGUGAAUGUGCCCAGCAUUAAUGUCAGAUAGGUGGUGAGCUCAAAUGCAUACAACACACAUCACCUAAAUCAAUAUUCAGCUUCAAUUUCCACCUCACCAAAUGGAUUUGGGACCUGGAAAGGCAGCAUUUGGGCUGACAUUAUCUCUUUCCAAUUAAUGCUCACUGUGAUGACUCUUUAGGACCAAAAGGUAACUUUAAUAGAGUGAAGUAGCUGUUAAAAAUGUGCUCAGUGCUAUCCUGGACAGUGUUAAUAGUUGUCCUGGAUCAGGGAAGCAAUAGUUCACUUUUCUGGUUACACUUAGAAUGUCCUAACAGGGUGUGGAGGCAAUGUGGACACAUACUCCAGGGGAAGGUGACCCUGCAGCACAGGAGGCUCUGAAAACUGUCUAGCAAGGAAUAUUCACAGAAACUAGGGACAUUCGAUCUGAGAUGAAAAAUCCAAAGGGUUUUUUUUGUCAUUUCAGGAGAAAAAAAUGGGAGUUUUCCAACCCUGGAAUAGAUGGUCUUGCAGCAAACUGGGCUCCCAGAUUCUGGAGGAUGCAACUUGUGUCUUGGCAGCCCCAGUCAAAGCUCAUGAAAGAGGAACUCUCAAACCAGGAGGAAAGGGCUUGAAUGCCUCUAUGUUCCUUCAAAAUCUAAAUUUUGUGAUUCUGUAUAUGUGUUUCUAAAGUCUGACAUAAAACCAGGAUCUACUAAACUAUUGAGGGACAUUAGCGAGAGGGAUAUUAUGGUGCUUAGUUGUUUGCAAUUCUUUCAAUCUUUUCAUCUGAACUUUGUGACCAUCUGUUUGGCCAUUCUAAUAUUAGUAAAGAUGUCUAAUUAGCCAUAAUAGGGUUCAUGGUCUCCAGCCAAUGCCACUCUCCUAAAAAAGUACCGGUGGCAAGAGAAGGGUUAAGAUGUUCAGCCAUCCUGUGAUCCUGGGCAUUUGGGCUUCUAGAUCAAUUCCCUCUCCCCAUCACUCACCUAUACACAUACAUAUAAUUAAAAAAGAAUUCAAGGGCAUGUUCUUACACCAAACCUUAUCUGAAGAUUGGACUCUGAAUACAGAAAAAAAAAAAAAAAAAGCAAAGAAAAAGGGAAGGAGACCCAUGCUUUGCGUAUAACUCCCAUGCUGUGAUUUCCCCCUGUGCACACUAAUUUGUAUACCUUUUUCCAUAUUUUAAAAAAAGGUGCAUUUUUGAGCUCUGACAGCUGUUCUUAACCCUGGUAUACAUAUCAUAAUCAUGCAAGUUGCUUUUGUAAGAUCCUCAUGCCUCAGCCACAUCCUAGACCAAUUAAACCUGGGACCUGGGCAUCAAUGUUUUUUAGAGCUUCCCUAGUGGCUCUAAUGGGCAGACUGAACUGAGAUCCCCUGGUAGAAGAAGACCUAGACAUUUGUUUGUUUCAUGAAUUAAUAUGAUUAUGCUAAUUAAUCUUAAAUACACAUCACAUUUCUCUCAGAAACAAGCACAGAAAUUUCUCUACUGAUAAAUGUUCAAUUCACAAACUUCCAUAGUUUGAUUAUGAAACUCUGAAUAUUCCUUGUUGAUAACUGAGCACUUGAAUGCUUUACACACUCCAUAGUUGAUUCUUUCAGUCAAGACUGAGAGACAUUGUUAUAAGUGUUCAAUAAACAUUUAGAAGAAUGGGUGUAGGUGAUUGGAUGUGGCACAGUGGGAGUUCUUUAUUUAAAAGGUUCAUGGACCUUUAUUUUUUAUUUUUCUUUUAAUAUUUUAUUAGCUAUAGAUGCAACCCCAGCACAGUGGGGAUUCUUUUUUUUUUUUUUAGUUGUAGAUGGACACAAUACCUUUAUUUUAUUUAUUUAUUUUUAUGUGGUACUGAGGAUCGAACCCCAUGCCUCGCAUAUGCUAGGAAAGUACUCUACCUGAGCUACAACCCCAGUACCAGUUGGGGUUCUUAACCUAGGUAAUAUUGAUAUUUUAAGUCACUUAAUUGUUGUUGGGGCUGUCCAGUAUAAUGUAGGACACUUAACAGUUCUUCUGACCUUUAUCUCAAAGAUGCCAGUAACAUCCCCCAUUAUGAUACCCUAACAGUGUCUCCAGACAUUUUUAUAUGGCCCCUGGGUGCUAUAAGUGCCCCAUGGUUGAGAACCCCUUGAGUAGAUUAAUGAAUGGGUACACAGAUGAAUGAAUGCAUGCAUGCAUGCAUGCAUGCAUGGAUAGAUACAUGGAUGGAUGGGUGAAUGAAAGGGUAGAUGGAUGAAUGAUCAGGACUCAUAAACCUAAAUGCAUGUCUUUGUUUUUGAAGGUUUGACUCCGAAAACAUUCUUUCCUCUUUGUCCAUAAAGUACCAUAGGAAAGCAAAUAUUUGGCACAUCAAGUAAUUGGAAGAAUACCAAAGGACUGAAUUUGAAGUUUCAGACAUUGAUAUCAUUUGCCAAUGUAAAACUAAAUUCUAAAGCUGAUCCAGGAAAAGACUUGUUAAAUAUAGCUGACCUAAAAUAAAACUGUUUAUGAGGGAAAAGUGAACAUGGUAAACUGUUCUGUCUAAAAAUUAACAAAUAAAAUCUUUAUCACAACACCAAGAUAUAAUAAAAUUAUGACCUGAGAUAAUGAAUUUUUUUAAGUGGUAGGGAUCAAAUCCAGGAUCUUGUGCAUGCUAGGUAAGUGCUCUCUAUCACUGAGCUCACUCCCAGCCCUUUUUUUAUUUUGAAAUAGGGUCUCAUUAAACUGUCCAGUCUGACCUCAGUAUUCUCAGUAGCUAGAGUUAUAGGCAUGCACUGAGGCUAGCAAAAAACUAG
This 3189-nucleotide long non-coding RNA is filed under the name Marmota monax (woodchuck). Lineage: Eukaryota; Metazoa; Chordata; Mammalia; Rodentia; Sciuridae. The record is from RNAcentral.